RNAcentral lists this long non-coding RNA (271 nucleotides) under Hordeum vulgare. RNAcentral's name for it is "long non-coding RNA (HVUL_LNC001926)". The record is from RNAcentral. Lineage: Eukaryota; Viridiplantae; Streptophyta; Magnoliopsida; Poales; Poaceae.
UCCUUAUUAGUAUAUAUUUACUUUCCUUGCACCUCAAUUCAUGUGUAAUAUAUAUAUGCCCCUUGGGCCUUCAAUACAGAUAAGUUGUUUUCCUAACAUGGUAUUAGAGCCUAGGUUUAGGUCUCAGGGCGCCGCCCGUCCGCCUCGAUCUGCUCCAGCCGCCGUUCCUGUCACUGGAUCUCGUCUCUGCCCCCCGUUGGAUCCCGUUCCCGUCGCUGGAUCUCGUCUCUGCCCCCCGUUGGAUCCCGUUCCCGUCGCUGGAUCUCGUCUC